UAUUUGGUGGCGACCGGCGCACGGGUGCGUAACACGUAUACAAUCUACCUUCAACAGGGGGAUAGCCUUUCGAAAGAGAGAUUAAUACCCCGUAAUAUAUUUAACGGCAUCGUUGAAUAUUGAAAGCUCCGGCGGUUGAAGAUGAGUAUGCGUCUGAUUAGCUAGUAGGUGAGGUAACGGCUCACCUAGGCUACGAUCAGUAGGGGAUCUGAGAGGACUAACCCCCACACUGGUACUGAGACACGGACCAGACUCCUACGGGAGGCAGCAGUAAGGAAUAUUGGUCAAUGGAGGCAACUCUGAACCAGCCAUGCCGCGUGCAGGAUGAAGGCCCUAUGGGUCGUAAACUGCUUUUAUACCAGAGAAAACCCCAGUACGUGUACUGGGUUGAUAGUAUGGUAAGAAUAAGCAUCGGCUAACUUCGUGCCAGCAGCCGCGGUAAGACGAAGGAUGCAAGCGUUAUCCGGAUUCAUUGGGUUUAAAGGGUGCGUAGGCGGACUUGUAAGUCAGUGGU
This 514-nucleotide ribosomal RNA is filed under the name uncultured Bacteroidota bacterium. Its description in RNAcentral is "bacterial SSU rRNA". It matches the Rfam family "Bacterial small subunit ribosomal RNA", at positions 81 to 595 of the family's 1533-position model. The record is from RNAcentral. Lineage: Bacteria; Pseudomonadati; Bacteroidota.